GUAGGGAAUAUUGGACAAUGGGCGCAAGCCUGAUCCAGCCAUGCCGCGUGGAGGAUGAAGGUCCUCUGGAUUGUAAACUUCUUUUAUUUGGGAAGAAAUGUAGAUAUUCUUAUUUACUUGACGGUACCAGAUGAAUAAGCACCGGCUAACUCCGUGCCAGCAGCCGCGGUAAUACGGAGGGUGCAAGCGUUAUCCGGAUUCACUGGGUUUAAAGGGUGCGUAGGCGGGCAGGUAAGUCAGUGGUGAAAUCUCUAAGCUUAACUUGGAAAUUGCCAUUGAUACUAUCUAUCUUGAAUAUUGUGGAGGUUAGCGGAAUAUGUCAUGUAGCGGUGAAAUGCUUAGAUAUGACAUAGAACACCGAUUGCGAAGGCAGCUAACUACGCAUAUAUUGACGCUGAGGCACGAAAGCGUGGGGAUCAAACAGG
RNAcentral lists this ribosomal RNA (425 nucleotides) under uncultured Chitinophagaceae bacterium. RNAcentral describes it as "bacterial SSU rRNA". It matches the Rfam family "Bacterial small subunit ribosomal RNA", at positions 354 to 776 of the family's 1533-position model. Lineage: Bacteria; Pseudomonadati; Bacteroidota; Chitinophagia; Chitinophagales; Chitinophagaceae. The record is from RNAcentral.